AUAGCCUAACGGGUGAACCAGCAACUUGGAGGAANGUAUAGCAAUAGCUAACUGCACUAAAAAUUUUAGUGUAAAAUCAACUAUGUUGAAUAAAAUUCUGGGUAGUAUUAAGAUAAUGACAUUACUUAUUCAUAAGUCUUGACCAAAUUACGUGCCAGCAGUCGCGGUAAUACGUAGAAGACAAGUGUUAUUCAUCUUUAAUAGGUUUAAAGGGUACUUAGACGGUAAAUCAAGCCUCAAAAAAGGGACUAAUUUGCUAGAGUUUUAUGUGAAAAAGUUUUAAAGUACUGCUGGUGUAGAGAUGAAAUUCUGUAAUACCUUGAAUGGCACAGGUUAUGGCGAAAGCAUCUUUUUAUGUAAAAACUGACGUUGAAGGACGAAGGCUUUGUGUCUCGAACAGGAUUAGAUACCCUAGUAGUCUAAGCAGACAAUGAUGAAUGUCAUAGAUUAGAUGUAAUUUGAUCUAUAAAUGAAAGUGUAAGCAUUCCACCUCAAGAGUAAUUUGGCAACAUUGGAACUGAAAUCAUUAGACCGUUUCUGAAACCAGUAGUGAAGUAUGUUGUUUAAUUUGAUAAUCCGCAAAAAACCUUACCACCUUAAGAGAAUAUUAUAUAAAUAAUAGAAUGUAAUAUGAAUAGAUAUAUUUUAUCGUACAAGCGUUGCACGGCUGUCUUCAGUUAAUGUCGUGAGACUUUGGUUAGUUCCAUAAAAUUAACGUAAACCCUUACUUUAUUUUUAAAUAAAGUAGCUCACCGCUAUAUUGGAUGUGAUAAGA
RNAcentral lists this ribosomal RNA (775 nucleotides) under Elenkiniana gloriae. RNAcentral describes it as "mitochondrial SSU rRNA". It matches the Rfam family "Bacterial small subunit ribosomal RNA", at positions 378 to 1170 of the family's 1533-position model. Lineage: Eukaryota; Fungi; Ascomycota; Lecanoromycetes; Teloschistales; Teloschistaceae. The record is from RNAcentral.